GCGCCGUUGGUCCAGUGGUAGGACAGAGCCUUCCCAAGGCUCUAGCCCGGGUUCAAUUCCCGGACGGCGCA
Molecule: non-coding RNA, 71 nt
Organism: Halogranum salarium B-1
Lineage: Archaea; Methanobacteriati; Methanobacteriota; Halobacteria; Halobacteriales; Haloferacaceae
Source: Rfam